AGGUAUUACUCAUACACUGCGUUUCCUUCGUACCAUCCAUGCCCAACUCACGACCACUCGCUACCUUGUGUUAGCC
Molecule: small RNA, 76 nt
Filed under: Xanthomonas vesicatoria
Lineage: Bacteria; Pseudomonadati; Pseudomonadota; Gammaproteobacteria; Lysobacterales; Lysobacteraceae
Also listed under: 1 other name
Description: sX9
Rfam family: Xanthomonas sRNA sX9
Source: RNAcentral